Molecule: non-coding RNA, 77 nt
Organism: Caenorhabditis elegans
Lineage: Eukaryota; Metazoa; Nematoda; Chromadorea; Rhabditida; Rhabditidae
Source: Ensembl
AGCACGAUCAGAUUACCGGAAGCGCCAACACAACUUCUCCCCUUCAGCCGCUCAUCAGAAUCAUGAAUAUUUGACAA